CCCUUAGAUGUUCUGGGCCGCACGCGUGCUACACUGAGUGGAUCAGCGGGUCAGGUUGCGCGAAAGUGUUUCCUAAUCUUUAAAUCCGCUCGUGAUGGGGAUUGACGGUUGCAAUUUUCCGUCAUGAACGAGGAAUACCUUGUAAGCGCGGGUCAUCAUCCCGCGCUGAAUACGUCCCUGCCCUUUGUACACACCGCCCGUCGCUCCUACCGAUUGAGUGGUCCGGUGAGGCUUUGGGAUCUGAGCGGAAAGAGCGUUUCGCUGUUUCUGCCCGGAAAACUCCGUCGAACCUUACCAUUUAGAGGAAGGAGAAGUCGUAACA
This 322-nucleotide ribosomal RNA is filed under the name uncultured eukaryote. RNAcentral describes it as "partial 18S ribosomal RNA". It matches the Rfam family "Eukaryotic small subunit ribosomal RNA", at positions 1470 to 1796 of the family's 1831-position model. The record is from RNAcentral.